AUGGUAAUAAAUGAAGACGGUCACAUAUUAUAUUUUAAUUGGAUGUUAAUUUCAUGAGAGAUGAAAUGUAUUUUUAUUUUCAUUGACCAAUUAUAACAUCACAUGUAAUAGUCAUAAUUC
Non-coding RNA from Glycine max (soybean), 120 nucleotides. The record is from Rfam. Lineage: Eukaryota; Viridiplantae; Streptophyta; Magnoliopsida; Fabales; Fabaceae.